AUGAGAUUCUCAAAACUGGCUGUGUUUCUGGUUUUUUCAUUUUAUUUUGUACUGCUUGUCCAUGGGAAAGUGCAAUCCAAUGAGCUAAGGGUGAGCUCUGGAAACUCUUUCAAUGCGGUUAGUACUUUAGUUCUUAAGCUCCUCUCUCUCUCUCUCUCUCUCUCUCUCUCUCUCUCUCUCUCUGUGGAAACUCUUUUAAAAGUUGGACUUAACCAGUUGCCUUUGAUGUUUGAUGUUUUGUGUAGGGAAGAGCAGAUCAUUUGUAG
Molecule: long non-coding RNA, 266 nt
Filed under: Prunus dulcis (almond)
Lineage: Eukaryota; Viridiplantae; Streptophyta; Magnoliopsida; Rosales; Rosaceae
Description: sRNA ncRNA
Source: RNAcentral